AGAACGAACGCUGGCGGCGUGGAUAAGACAUGCAAGUCGAGCGCUAAUUAAAGGGUAGCAAUACUCUUUGAUUGGAGCGGCGCAAGGGUGCGUAACACGUGGGUAAUUUGCCAUGAAGUUGGGGAUAACUCGCUGAAAGGCGAGCUAAUACCGAAUGUGGCCCGAUGGAGGCAUCUCUGUUUGGCUAAAGCUGGGGACCGUAAGGCCUGGCGCUUUUUGAUAAACCCGCGGCCUAUCAGCUAGUUGGUGAGGUAACGGCCCACCAAGGCUAAGACGGGUAGCUGGUCUGAGAGGACGACCAGCCACACUGGAACUGAGACACGGUCCAGACACCUACGGGUGGCAGCAGUCGAGAAUUUUUCACAA
This 366-nucleotide ribosomal RNA is filed under the name uncultured bacterium. RNAcentral's name for it is "SSU rRNA". It matches the Rfam family "Bacterial small subunit ribosomal RNA", at positions 26 to 371 of the family's 1533-position model. The record is from RNAcentral.